RNAcentral lists this long non-coding RNA (536 nucleotides) under Ananas comosus (pineapple). RNAcentral's name for it is "long non-coding RNA (ACOM_LNC001733)". Lineage: Eukaryota; Viridiplantae; Streptophyta; Magnoliopsida; Poales; Bromeliaceae. The record is from RNAcentral.
GAUUGGUUAGCUCGAUACUACGCAAUGAUUGAUUGUGCGGCCAGGACCGUCACUACAACAGAAUUAGGUUAUAGGGACACAUGUUUGGGACACUUUUGAGUAAGUGUCUCAUUUAUGCUAAAACUUAAAAACACAUCUACUAAUACCUAAAUAUAAUGCCCAAUCUAACCAAAAAUAAAAGAUUACUCUACUCAACCCACCACACCCAGUCCAUCUGGCCCGAUUACAAACAGAAAAGAAAAAAAAAAGAAAAAUCAAUUACCAUCUUUUCUUUUCUCUUCACUCAAUUCAUUGAAAUUCUAGAUGAAGGGCCUUUACUGUCGUCCUCCUCCGCCACCGCAGCCAACGAGAUAGAGUUUCGGCAGUUGCUAAAUGCUUAAAUAAAUGUUGGUAAAUUAGCAGCACUCUUUUAGAUUAUAGCGACACUCUUUAACUGUCACUAUAUACCUAGCGACCCCACAUAUAGCAACACUUUUUAAAAGUGUCGGUAAUUUUAGCUAGCAGCACUUUUUUGACAUGUACCUAUAUUUAAAAGC